CAGAGAUCAUAGUGCAAACCUAGGAAAUGUGGAAGUAUCAUGGGAGGGGGGAGUGUUGAACUUCAGUAACUCACAGACAAGUACUGCCUCAUUGUCACUGUGUUUGAAAUGGAUGUAAACACCGCACAAAGAGUUCAUAUUCUCCUCCUGAUGAUCUUUUCUGCAUCAACAGAAGAUCCAGUUGUGAGGAUCUCUGUGCCGGAGGGGCAUUACAUAAUCAUACCCUGCAGCAGCCCACAGUGGAGGAAAUCUGACCACAUGAUAUGGCGGUUCGGGGACAACCAAGUCAUUGGGAAGAGAUCCUGGGAUAUUGUCUUUGAUAUAAACCGAAGAAAAUAUGAUCUCCUACCCGAUGGGUCCCUCCUGGUGAAGGUCCUGAGGCCUGAGAACUCUGGGGAGUAUUACUGUAAUGACUACAAGGCGGCGGAUCUGGAGGUCCUGACAGGUCAGGACUACAGUGUUUCAGCAGGGGGAACUAUCCUCCUUCCCUGCAAAAUCUCUGACAGGCUAAAGCAAAAGUGGAUGUUCAAGAAAAACAGACAGUCCAGGCGUAGGGUCAUCUUACUGAAAUACAAGAACGGAACGGUGACCAAAGAGAUUGAUGAUCCGCAAAACCGGUUCACGACCACGGAUUUUGAGCUCAGGAUACUUAAUCUCCAGCCCGCGGAUGGUGGGGAAUACUUCUGUAA
Molecule: long non-coding RNA, 689 nt
Filed under: Scleropages formosus (Asian bonytongue)
Lineage: Eukaryota; Metazoa; Chordata; Actinopteri; Osteoglossiformes; Osteoglossidae
Description: lncRNA (ENSSFOG00015029298.1)
Source: RNAcentral